Molecule: ribosomal RNA, 485 nt
Filed under: Cyrtonota serinus
Lineage: Eukaryota; Metazoa; Arthropoda; Insecta; Coleoptera; Chrysomelidae
Description: partial large subunit ribosomal RNA
Source: RNAcentral
GUUCAAGGGUACGUGAAACCGUUCAGGGGUAAACCUGAGAAACCCGAAAGGUCGAAUGGGGAAAUUCAUUCGCGUUUCGAUUGUCGACGUUGAAAUGUUGUGUGACUGACGGGGUACGCUUCGUUAGCACCUUCAGUUCUUCGAACCGACUUCGAACGCGUGCACUUUUCCCCUAGUAGGACGUCGCGAUCCGUUGGGUGUCGGUCUAAGGCUUGCGGUGGAGCUCGCGUGGACGUUUCGGCGUUCCACACGAACCCGUAGUGUCCCGAUCGACUCACUCGACGGUAUAAAGAUGGCGCGGGGCCGCUACACAGUUAGCGUUCGGCCUACGGCAAGCACGUACGGUGUUUGAUGGCGAUCAGACCUAGUCGGAUCCCGUCCCCGGACGACUGUUGGCACGUAGUGUUCUCGAACAGACCUCGUUGAAACGCCGAUCUGCGACGCUAUUGCUUUGGGUACUUUCAGGACCCGUCUUGAAACACGGA